RNAcentral lists this ribosomal RNA (347 nucleotides) under Acinetobacter baumannii. Its description in RNAcentral is "bacterial SSU rRNA". It matches the Rfam family "Bacterial small subunit ribosomal RNA", at positions 75 to 425 of the family's 1533-position model. Lineage: Bacteria; Pseudomonadati; Pseudomonadota; Gammaproteobacteria; Moraxellales; Moraxellaceae. The record is from RNAcentral.
GUAGCUUGCUACCGGACCUAACGGCGGACGGGUGAGUAAUGCUUAUGAAUCUGCCUAUUAGUGGGGGACAACAUCUCGAAGGGGAUGCUAAUACCGCAUACGUCCUACGGGAGAAAGCAGGGGAUCUUCGGACCUUGCGCUUAUAGAUGAACCUAAGUCGGAUUAACUAGUUGGUGGGGUAAAGGCCGACCAAGGCGACCAUCUGUACCGGGUCUGACAGGAUGAUCCGCCACACUGGGACUGACACACGGCCCAGACUCCUACGGGAGGCAGCAGUGGGGAAUAUUGGACGAUGGGGGGAACCCUGAUCCAGCCAUGCCGCGUGUGUGAAGAAGGCCUUAUGGUUG